Notothenia coriiceps (black rockcod) is the source of this 945-nucleotide long non-coding RNA. RefSeq lists it as uncharacterized. NCBI's taxonomy places the organism in Eukaryota, Metazoa, Chordata, Actinopteri, Perciformes, Nototheniidae. The record is from RefSeq and is a predicted model, not a curated record. The transcript is spliced from 4 exons.
UUCAUUGAUAUAUUUGGCAUGCACGUAGACACAAAAAUGCUCUAUGUGGAUGCACACUAACCUUUCCCUGUUAUUAUUACAUGCAUCCCAUGAAUUUAUUAGAUUGAAUAUGCCUCAUCAAUCAAAGAUGAACAUUUCAAGUUGUUUAUUUAUUUAAAUGAAGUACUGUUUAAGUCUUUAUCAUAUGAAUUCAGGGAUAAUAUUGUAAUUGUGAAAGCCAAGGCUUGUAGUUUAUGGGCAACGUGACUGUUGUAAUUGUGUGCAUCUUAUUCUUUGUCAUGUUCUCAGUUCUUAUUACUUUAUUAAGGCCUGCUUCAUAAUGUACCUAAAUGUGUGUUCUCUAUUACAGACAGAUUUUCAAAGAUUUCCGUUUUGCUGCAACUGGAUGAAGUGGACUUAUUCAGGCAGAGUUCCAGAGAAUUGUCACUACGGACCUGCUUUCAUCGUUUCUGGAUGGACUUGAUGGCCUGGCAUUGCUGGAGGUCUACAAAGGUGCAUCCAGGACUGGAAAGAAGCCGGCACUAAAAGGCCUUUUGGACUGCCUUGAGAAAGAUGACACAAAUGAGAGGAGGAGGACUGCUGCUCUCUUGGGACUAUCACACUACAUGUCUGGCGAAAAUCAGGAAAAUGUCAUCAGGAUGUGUGAUGCUCAUGGAGACACUCUCGAGGAAGCCAUGAAGGUGAUGCAAGUUGGUCUACUCAUAGGCUACGAAGGUGAAUGGGAUGCCUUUCCUAAGCAGAUCUUCAAUGUGGCAGUUGUGGUCGAGGAGACAAUUGUGCUCCACAACCUGAAAGAUGUGGCUUUGCGAUGCUUCUUGGACUAAUAUAUUGCUACAAUCUUCAGUAUACUCUGGAAAUGAAAUAUUCAUUUGAGUUUAUCCAGAGGGUUGUUAUGAAGAUACAGCCAGACCAAGCCUCUGCCAAAAUACAUGGACUAAAAAACAA